Molecule: ribosomal RNA, 406 nt
Filed under: uncultured bacterium
Lineage: Bacteria
Description: partial 16S ribosomal RNA
Rfam family: Bacterial small subunit ribosomal RNA
Source: RNAcentral
AUUGAACGCUGGCGGCAGGCCUAACACAUGCAAGUCGAACGAGUGGCGGACGGGUGAGUAAUGUCUGGGAAUCUGCCCGAUGGAGGGGGAUAACUACUGGAAACGGUAGCUAAUACCGCAUACCAUCGGAUGUGCCCAGAUGGGAUUAGCUAGUAGGUGGGGUAACGGCUCACCUAGGCGACGAUCCCUAGCUGGUCUGAGAGGAUGACCAGCCACACUGGAACUGAGACACGGUCCAGACUCCUACGGGAGGCAGCAGUGGGGAAUAUUGCACAAUGGGCGCAAGCCUGAUGCAGCCACGCCGCGUGUAUGAAGAAGGCCUUCGGGUUGUAAAGUACUUUCAGCGAGGAGGCGUUACUCACAGAGGAAGCAUCGGCUAACUCCGUGCCAGCAGCCGCGGUAAUUC